CUGAAAGCAUCUAAGCACGAAACUUGCCCCGAGAUGAGUUCUCCCUGACCCUUUAAGGGUCCUGAAGGAACGUUGAAGACGACGACGUUGAUAGGCCGGGUGUGUAAGCGCAGCGAUGCGUUGAGCUAACCGGUACUAAUGAACCGUGAGGCUUAACCUU
Molecule: ribosomal RNA, 160 nt
Filed under: Escherichia coli
Lineage: Bacteria; Pseudomonadati; Pseudomonadota; Gammaproteobacteria; Enterobacterales; Enterobacteriaceae
Description: partial 23S ribosomal RNA
Rfam family: Bacterial large subunit ribosomal RNA
Source: RNAcentral